This is a non-coding RNA of Podarcis lilfordi (Lilford's wall lizard), 75 nucleotides long. NCBI's taxonomy places the organism in Eukaryota, Metazoa, Chordata, Lepidosauria, Squamata, Lacertidae. The record is from the annotation of a GenBank genome assembly.
GAAAAUGUCCAUAGUUCAGUGGUAGAGCAUCUGCUUUCUCUUCAGAAAGUCCAAGUUCAAUUCCUUGCAUCUUUG